GGAAGUGAGGAUGACAUGGCUGCAACAUCUGAUACUCCUCUAAUCUCCAGUGUUCAAUAAGAUGAUCUGGGUGUCUGGGGUGUCCUUUUUCUCCCUCCCAGCUUAUGGGCAUCAUUCCUGAAGCUGUCACUGGGUAGAAGAUGCCCUUCUGUAAGUAGAGAGGCCUUGUCUUAGGUUAAGGUGGUAAGACCAGACGUGUUCUGCUAGAACCUCCAAAUAAGCUCACAAAAUAAUGUGAAACACAUGGCAAUUCACACAUUAUAUUUGCUAGUUAAUGAAAGAUGCAUUUUGGAGGAAAUAAUUGCAUGUAUUU
This is an unclassified non-coding RNA of Cricetulus griseus (Chinese hamster), 313 nucleotides long. Its record names the gene 7SK. It matches the Rfam family "7SK RNA". From Rfam's summary of the family: 7SK was discovered as an abundant small nuclear RNA in the mid-70s but a possible function has only recently been suggested. Two independent studies have found that 7SK RNA binds the CDK9/cyclin T complex (known as elongation factor P-TEFb). The record is from Ensembl. NCBI's taxonomy places the organism in Eukaryota, Metazoa, Chordata, Mammalia, Rodentia, Cricetidae.